UAGGAGAGCCACUCAGGUCCACUCCAGAGG
This 30-nucleotide non-coding RNA is filed under the name Rattus norvegicus (Norway rat). The record is from RNAcentral. Lineage: Eukaryota; Metazoa; Chordata; Mammalia; Rodentia; Muridae.